This 501-nucleotide ribosomal RNA is filed under the name uncultured bacterium. Its description in RNAcentral is "partial 16S ribosomal RNA". It matches the Rfam family "Bacterial small subunit ribosomal RNA", at positions 30 to 523 of the family's 1533-position model. The record is from RNAcentral.
AUUGAACGCUGGCGGCAGGCUUAACACAUGCAAGUCGAGCGGGGAGAUGUAGCUUGCUACAUUUCCUAGCGGCGGACGGGUGAGUAAUGCUUAGGAAUCUGCCUAUUAGUGGGGGACAACAUUCCGAAAGGAAUGCUAAUACCACAUACGCCCUACGGGGGAAAGCAGGGGAUCUUCGGACCUUGCGCUAAUAGAUGAGCCUAAGUCAGAUUAGCUAGUUGGUGGGGUAAAGGCCUACCAAGGCGACGAUCUGUAGCGGGUCUGGGAGGAUGAUCCGCCACACUGGGACUGAGACACGGCCCAGACUCCUACGGGAGGCAGCAGUGGGGAAUAUUGGACAAUGGGCGAAAGCCUGAUCCAGCCAUGCCGCGUGUGUGAAGAAGGCCUUUUGGUUGUAAAGCACUUUAAGCGAGGAGGAGGCUACUUGGAUUAAUACUCUAGGAUAGUGGACGUUACUCGCAGAAUAAGCACCGGCUAACUCUGUGCCAGCCGCCGCCGUAA